UGGGGAAUAUUGGACAAUGGGCGCAAGCCUGAUCCAGCCAUGCCGCGUGUGUGAAGAAGGCCUUUUGUUUGUAAAGCACUUUAAGCGAGGAGGAGGCUACUUGGAUUAAUACUCUAGGAUAGUGGACGUUACUCGCAGAAUAAGCACCGGCUAACUCUGUGCCAGCAGCCGCGGUAAUACAGAGGGUGCGAGCGUUAAUCGGAUUUACUGGGCGUAAAGCGUGCGUAGGCGGCUUUUUAAGUCGGAUGUGAAAUCCCUGAGCUUAACUUAGGAAUUGCAUUCGAUACUGGGAAGCUAGAGUAUGGGAGAGGAUGGUAGAAUUCCAGGUGUAGCGGUGAAAUGCGUAGAGAUCUGGAGGAAUACCGAUGGCGAAGGCAGCCAUCUGGCCUAAUACUGACGCUGAGGUACGAAAGCAUGGGGAGCAAACAGG
This 430-nucleotide ribosomal RNA is filed under the name bacterium. RNAcentral's name for it is "partial 16S ribosomal RNA". It matches the Rfam family "Bacterial small subunit ribosomal RNA", at positions 355 to 776 of the family's 1533-position model. The record is from RNAcentral. RNAcentral also lists the same sequence under 1 other name.